Long non-coding RNA from Homo sapiens (human), 501 nucleotides. The record is from Ensembl. Lineage: Eukaryota; Metazoa; Chordata; Mammalia; Primates; Hominidae.
AGCUAUCCAACACCACUGUACUUUGGGACCCGUGGGCAGUUUCGCUGCAACCUGGAGUGGCACCUGGGGCUCGGAGAAGGAGAAAAGGAGACUUCAAAGCCAGAUGGCCCAAUGGUUGCAGCUGGCCAGCCGAUGUCGAGAUGCUAGGAUCCGCCUCCUCCUGGCUCAGUGUAAUGCCUUGGUGCAGGGGACACUGACCCGGGUAGGACUCCUGGACAGGGUGACUCCAGAUCAGCUGUUUGUGAGUGUGCAGGAUGCAGCUGCUUAUGCCCUGGGGAGCCUGUUAAGGGGCAGUAGCACCAGGAGCGGGAGCCAGGAGGCACUGGGCUGCGGCAAGUGAGGCAGGGGAGCUCACUGACCCAAAGAUUUGCACCGUGUGGGUCUGACCUCAUCAUGUGGAGUGCAGAGGGCCCUGAUGACAUGUGUGUGAUGAGGACCAUGACCCUUGAACCCCCUUACCUAACGUAACUAAUAAAAUGAAGCUGAGAGCUUUGGAAUCCA